AUCUACGACCAUACCACCCCAAAUGUGCCUGAUCUUAUGUGAUCUUGGAAGCCAAGCAGGGUCGGGCAUGGUUAGUACUAGGUUGGGAGAUGGCGUGGGAAUGGUGCUGUAGUCUUAAAAC
Molecule: ribosomal RNA, 121 nt
Filed under: Carlito syrichta (Philippine tarsier)
Lineage: Eukaryota; Metazoa; Chordata; Mammalia; Primates; Tarsiidae
Source: RNAcentral